Long non-coding RNA from Equus caballus (horse), 4993 nucleotides. The record is from Ensembl. Lineage: Eukaryota; Metazoa; Chordata; Mammalia; Perissodactyla; Equidae.
UUUUAUGGCUGAGUAGUAUUCCAGUGUGUAUAUAUACCAUAUCUUCUAUGUCCAGUCGUCAGUUUCUGGGCAUUUAGGUUGGUUCCACGUCUUGGCUAUUGUAAAUAAUGCUGCGAUGAACAUAGGGGUGCAUGGGUUCUUGGGAUUGCUGAUCCAAAACCAAAAGUGACAAAUGUUGGAGAGGUUGUGGAGAAAAGGGAACCCUCAUACACUGUUGGUGGGAAUGCAAACUAGUGCAGCCACUAUGGAUAACAGUAUGGAGAUUUCUCAAAAAGUUAAAAAUAGAAAUACCCUAUGACCCAGCUAUCCCACUACUGGGUAUCUAUCCUAACAACCUGAAAUCAGCAAUCCCAAGAAUCCCAUGCACCCCUAUUUUCUAUUAUAUUUUAUGACUCCACAUUCUCAUUUAUUUCAUCAUAGCAAUUUAUUUUCAAAUUUGAGACCUAUUACUCUUUUACAUCAUCAUUUCUCCACGAUAAAAUAACUUUUAAAAAUGCUGUUCUUCAAAUGCAUCUUUGUAAAUGCCAGUAAGUGUAAAAUAAAUGAAAUCAAUCACCACAUUUUUUUAAAAGUCAUAGUAAUAAAUUAAUGCUAAAACUAGUAAGUGAAUGUUUAUUAAGAAAUAAGACAUUUACACAGUCUCAGUAUCUCCCCACAAAUUAUUUAGUGGUUAAAAAUGAGGAAUAAUUAACUUUACAUAGAAAAAUCUGGUGGAUACCACUUUAACCAAGAGAUCGAAAUUAUCAUCACCAGUCUUGGGAUCAAUUGACAUCAUGUGUCUCCUAUCAAGAUGCACUAAAAAGAACACAGUAUCACUUCUGUUGUAUUUCUAGCAAAAGUACAUAACCUUAAUCUAAUCAUAAGGAGGCAUCACACAGACCCAAACUGAGAGACCUUAUGAAAACAUAACUGGCCUGUGCUCCUCAAAAAUAUCGAACUUAAGAAAGACAAUGAGAGGCAGAAGAACUGUUCCAAAUUAAAAGACAUCAGGGCAAGUGGAAACUCUGAAUAUGGAUUUUGGAUUAGAUAAGAGUAUUAUACAUAUUUAAAAUUUUUGAUUUGUUAUUUGUAUAAAAGAAUAUUCUUGUCCUUCCGAAAUACUGAAGAAUUCAGGGGAAAGGGAGCAUGAUGUCUGCAACUCACUCUCAAAUGGUUCACAAAAAAAUGAAUAUAACAAGAGAAAAUGCAACUAAUUAAGUAGUUGGGACAAAAUGUUCACAAUGGAACUCUAGAUAAAGGGUAAACAGGAGUUCUUUGUACUAGUCUUGUAAUGCUUAAGUGUGAAAUAAUAUCACAAUAAAAGUCACCAGAAAAUAAAAGUAGCAUUUUAACUCUUCUUGAAGUAUUUUCCUUUUCUCAGAGCACAGAACUAUUAUAGGAGUACAGUUUCAGUUAAUCCGACUACCGGUCCAAUCCAAGAAAGCAGAUAACAGUUUACAAUAUAUCACUCUAAUAACUUGCUUGAAAAAACACAACUUUGCACAUUUGCCAACUUUACUGCUGCUUUAAAUACCAAGAAUCAUCAUCAGUGUUGAUAAUAUACAAGAAUUUUCACAAAUAUAGGAUGAAAAAAGUCUACACACAAGGUGAUGUGAUUUGAGAGCAACUUCUGCCAUGUAGUUUUAGUUUUACAUAAAGCUCCAUCCCUUCCUAUUUUCCUACUUUAUAGGCUAGAGUUAUCUUCUUGAGUUUAAUAUUAACCAUCUGCUUUUUAUCAUUUCACUAUAUUACUGUUCCUUUAAAAAACUUGAUCAUAUUACUCUAAAGACUUUUAAAGUAUUUGUUAGUUUCCUAUAAUGAAAAGGCAAAAAAUGAAAUAGCAUAAAAAGCCUUUUCAAAUCUGACCCUGUUACACACAAAAUUGGGGUUCUCUUGCCUGAUGCACAUACAGAGCCAAUCAUUACAGCUUCAGCUUUUGAUACAAGAAUACAGCGUUACUGCAAGAUCGACCUGCAAAGAGACAGAACGCAUAAGCUCUCAGAUUUGUCUCCCUGAUCCAGGGCUUAGGGUAAAAUGUAUGGGACAGAGGGCAGGGUGGCCUCAAGUAUGGAGACAGAGGAUUGGAGGUGAGGAUAAGUGAGAUAACUGAUGAUUUGUGCAAGCGUAUUCAAGCUUCACGGCUCUUCAUAGGACACGUGUUCUCAAACGGGUUGUGGGAGUAUGAUCUGAGGGGUGGAGUUUUCAGCCCUUGACGUCAAAAGGUCACUUUUAGAGCAUUUGCGGAGGCUCAGUUGAUGGGCUGGUGGUCCCAACCGGCCUGAACUGGACAAGGGGGAACUCUCAGUUCCUGAAACACAACUCUUAAUUACUCUGUUGAUAAGAUGGGGUCAGGUGAACCAGUCCGAGUAGGCCCAUGGUUACAACUCCAACUACCUUCCUUUUUUUCAACUCUACCUCACCUGUCCUCUCCAAUCACACUCAAUGCCUCACUGUUCUCAAGGCAGACAAGGGCCCUUCUACCAAGCCUCUAGACAUGCCCUUUUCACCACCUAGAAUAUCUACCCUCCUAACCAACACCAACACCUUGCUUUAUGACCCAACUCAAAAUUGUCAUCUCUCUCUUUGGAAAAUACUUGCCAUCAACUCUUCAAGGCAAAUUUGUUGUUCUUCCACAUUUCCUGGUUCAUAUCUUUGUAACUGUACUUAGCCACAUCACAGCGUACAGUAGCCUCCCUUUACCCGCAGGGGAUACAUUCCAAGACCCCCCGUGGGUGCCUGAAACUGCACAUAGCACCAAACUCUAUCUAUACUAUGUUUCCCUAUACAUACAGACCUACGAUAAAGUUCAGUUUACAAGUUAGGCACAGUAAGAGGUUAACAACAAUAAUAAAGUAGAACAAUUAUAACAACAUACUGUAAUAAAAAUUACCACAGAUCUUAGCAACCUCAGCAUAUGUUUUUGUCCUUUCCUUAUUAAGUUGAGAACUUUCACCUUUUCACUUAAAGAAAACACUUGACAGCUUCUCUUUGGCAUAUCCAAGUUGCCAGUAUCACUAAUCUUGCACUUUGGGGCCAUUAUUAAGUAAAAUAAGGGUUACUUGUACACAAGCACUGUGAUACCACAACAGGUGAUCUGAUAACCAAAAUGGCAACUGAGUGACUAACGAGCAGGUAGUGUAUACUGUGUGGAUAUGCUGGACAAAGGGAUGAUCCACAUCCUGGCAGGACAGAGCAGGACAGCAUGAGAUUUCAUCACACUACUCAUAAUGGUGCAUGACUCAAAACUUAUGAAUUGUUUACUUCUGGAAUUUUCUGUUUAAUAUUUUCAGACCAUGUACAGGCUCAAGAUACUCAAUACAGUACAAAGAACAGUGUGGGCAUUAACGCCCUAGCAGAAACCAAGACUUCAUAAAAAGUAAUAGUGAAGAAAACGUGGCACUGGCAUAGGGAUUAAAACAAACACACCAGGAAUGACAUCAUACACAAGAGUGGAGCAGGCAACUCCAAAACUCCAUCCCUCCACUAAGGCAACAAUUAUGCUGGUAAAAAUCAUCAGAAUCAACUUUUUUGAAACUCUACAAGCUAAUCAAAAACUUACAAUCGCCAGGAGAACAUAUAACAGAAAGAGGUGCUAAACUCUGGUAUGAGAGCCCUGUGGUCUUUUAACUUAUGCACCUACCAUACCUCACCCCCCAUCUAGGUGGCAGCCAUGAAGACAGUGGCCCACAUACCUAGUGCAACCUGCAGAUGUCAAAGAGGGAAAUAUCAACCUUAUUAUUAAAGAACUGUGGUUUUGACCUGUUUGGUCGUUAUCUGACAGAUUAGGGCAGGGGUUCGCCUUUGUUCACUCACCUCACAACUUUCUCAGGAGAAGUUCCUGAGACAAGUGGGGUUUGUCUAAAGCAUUUAAAGGUAAAUAUACCACUUACAGCCAUGUGGGGCAAGGGAUAACAACUAGGCCAGGCACUAAACAGACAUAAAAGAAUGGGAAGAAAGAAGCUGAAGGAAGAGAACAUGAAGGAAUAAGGGUUCCAAAAAGCUCCUGCACAUACCAGGAAACUUGGAAGGCCACACAUACGCCCAAGGCUGGAGACACGCUCAGAAAAGACAUGACAAGGCUACAAGCAUUCACCUCUAGCUGACCUCUAGCCUCCACACAAUCAAGAAGGGCUAGGAAAGAGUCUUAAAUGAACUGGCUAAGCACUGCAAAGUGCCCCAACACUGAGCCAAUCUGCAAAGACUGGGAGAGUUGUUUUGGUUUUUGUUUUUGCUUCUAGGCAUUUAAGGAAAGUUCUGUUAAACCACUAACAGACCAGUAAGCUACCAGAACAAACACUUCAGUGUCCACGCAAGACAAAAAAUAGUCUUUAUAGAAAUAAGUUAGAAACUUCACCAAGCAAAAACGACAACCCACAACAAGCAGCAGCAACAAACUCUGGGGAGGGAGAAGGAUGUUUUCCAGUUACCACAUUACAAUAUUCAAAAUGUCCACUUUCAACAAAAAGUUACAAGCAUACAAAGAAACAAGAAAGUAUGGCCCGUUCACAGGAAAAGAAAUUAACAGAACUGUCCCUAAGGAAGCCCACAUGUUGGAAUUAGUAAGCAAGGGCUUUAAAUCAACUGUCUGAAAUACACUCAAAGAGCUAAAGGAAACCAUGAACAAAGAACUAAAGGAAACAAGGAUAUCUUACCAAGGUAAGAAAACACAGAAAAAUAAAUUACAUAAAGAAACCAAAUAAAAUUUGAGAGCUGAAAAGUGCAAUAACAGAAGUGAAAACUUCAUGGGGCUGGCCCAGUGGCAAAGUGGUUAAGUUCUCACACUCCGCUUCAGUAGCCCGAGGUUCACGGGUUCAGAUCUCAGGCACAGACCUACACACCACUCAUCAAGCCAUGCUGUGGCAGCAUCCCACAUACAAAAUAGAGGAAGACUGGGGCUGGCCCCGUGGCCGAGUGGUUGAGUUCGCGCACUCCGCUGCAGGCGGCCUAGUGUUUCGUUGGUUCGAAUCCUGGGCGCGGACAUGACACUGCUCAUCAAACCACGCUGAGGCAGCGU